UACGUAGGGUGCAAGCGUUAAUCGGAAUUACUGGGCGUAAAGCGUGCGCAGGCGGCUUUGCAAGACAGAUGUGAAAUCCCCGGGCUUAACCUGGGAACUGCAUUUGUGACUGCAUGGCUGGAGUGCGGCAGAGGGGGAUGGAAUUCCGCGUGUAGCAGUGAAAUGCGUAGAUAUGCGGAGGAACACCGAUGGCGAAGGCAAUCCCCUGGGCCUGCACUGACGCUCAUGCACGAAAGCGUGGGGAGCAAACCGG
Molecule: ribosomal RNA, 253 nt
Filed under: uncultured bacterium
Lineage: Bacteria
Description: partial 16S ribosomal RNA
Rfam family: Bacterial small subunit ribosomal RNA
Source: RNAcentral